GACAGAGGGUGCAAGCGUUGUUCGGAAUUAUUGGGCGUAAAGGGCGCGUAGGCGGCGACGUAAGUCAGGUGUGAAAGCCCGGGGCUUAACCCCGGAAGUGCGCCUGAUACUGCGUUGCUUGAGUCCCGGAGAGGGUGGUGGAAUUCCCAGUGUAGAGGUGAAAUUCGUAGAUAUUGGGAGGAAUACCGGUGGCGAAGGCGACCACCUGGACGGAGACUGACGCUGAGGCGCGAAAGCGUGGGGAGCAAACAGG
RNAcentral lists this ribosomal RNA (253 nucleotides) under uncultured bacterium. RNAcentral describes it as "partial 16S ribosomal RNA". It matches the Rfam family "Bacterial small subunit ribosomal RNA", at positions 524 to 776 of the family's 1533-position model. The record is from RNAcentral.